AAUUGAGACCCAAAAGAGCCUUUAAGGAAGGGUUUAAAAGGGGGAAGAGGAAUAGAGGCUGCAAGAGAUUGUGAUUCAUGGACAGUAUGCAGAGAUCAAAUGACCUGGGUUCAGAUCCUGGCUCCACUGCUAACUGUGUAACUAUAGGAAACAAGCUAUAUUGAAGACAACUGCAAUCAAAAUGGUGCCAUAUCACUGAUCUUCUCACUCAAAGAAGAAGUUGGUGCAUUGGCCAAAGUAUUGCGCUUAUUUGAGGAGAAUGAUGUAAACCUGACCCACAUUGAAUCUAGACCUUCUCGUUUAAAGAAAGAUGAGUAUGAAUUUUUCACCCAUUUGGAUAAACGUAGCCUGCCUGCUCUGACAAACAUCAU
This 371-nucleotide long non-coding RNA is filed under the name Homo sapiens (human). RNAcentral describes it as "non-protein coding lnc-C12orf42-6:1". The record is from RNAcentral. Lineage: Eukaryota; Metazoa; Chordata; Mammalia; Primates; Hominidae.